Chionomys nivalis (European snow vole) is the source of this 634-nucleotide non-coding RNA. The record is from the annotation of a RefSeq genome assembly. NCBI's taxonomy places the organism in Eukaryota, Metazoa, Chordata, Mammalia, Rodentia, Cricetidae.
AUGUCAUGUCAGGAUAUCUCAGAAGACAAAUGGGAUCCUGGGAAGAAAGAUCUUCCAGAAAGAUCAUCACAUGCCCAGAAUCAUCAAGGACUACAUACAUCUCAGCUGAAAGUGGAGGAUAAGGUACAUGGAGGGUUUUUGCAUGAGCCUAUAUCACAGUGUUGGGUGUUCGGCGGAGGCACCAAAUUGACUGUCCUAGGUCAGCCCACGUCUCAACCUUCAGUCACCUUGUUUCCACCUUCUCCUGAGGAGCUCAAGACCAGCAAGGCCACACUGGUGUGUAUGAUCAAUGACUUUUACCCUGGUGAUUUGGCAGUGACCUGGAAAGCAGAUGGUACAACUAUCACCCAGGGUGUGGAGACAAGUAACCCUUCCAAACAGGGCAACAAGUACUUGGCUACCAGCUUCUUGACUUUGACAGAAGAUGCAUGGAAAUCGAAAAACAAAGUCAGCUGUGAGGUCACUCAUAAAGGGAUAAAAGUGGAGAAGAGUUUGUCCCCUGCAAUGUGUUCCUAGGCCUUCCAAUAUUCAUCUUACCCAUAGAAACUGGGAUUAGAAUAAUGCACAAAUCUUGCUCUUGCCUAUCAUAGCCCUUCUCCCAGUUCCUGAAAUGCAAAAUAAAAUAUCCAUUCUC